RNAcentral lists this ribosomal RNA (320 nucleotides) under uncultured Bacteroidota bacterium. Its description in RNAcentral is "bacterial SSU rRNA". It matches the Rfam family "Bacterial small subunit ribosomal RNA", at positions 28 to 351 of the family's 1533-position model. Lineage: Bacteria; Pseudomonadati; Bacteroidota. The record is from RNAcentral.
GAUGAACGCUAGCGGCAGGCUUAACACAUGCAAGUCGAGGGGUAUUCCGAUUUAUCGGGAGAGACCGGCGCACGGGUGCGUAACGCGUAUGCAAUCUACCUUUUGCAGCGGGAUAGCCCAGAGAAAUUUGGAUUAAUACCGCAUAGUAUAGUACUUUGGCAUCAAGGCACUAUUAAAGUCACAACGGCAAAAGAUGAGCAUGCGUCCCAUUAGCUAGUUGGUAUGGUAACGGCAUACCAAGGCGACGAUGGGUAGGGGUCCUGAGAGGGAGAUCCCCCACACUGGUACUGAGACACGGACCAGACUCCUACGGGAGGCUG